This 63-nucleotide transfer RNA is filed under the name Dipodomys ordii (Ord's kangaroo rat). It matches the Rfam family "tRNA", at positions 1 to 62 of the family's 71-position model. From Rfam's summary of the family: Transfer RNA (tRNA) molecules are approximately 80 nucleotides in length. Their secondary structure includes four short double-helical elements and three loops (D, anti-codon, and T loops). Lineage: Eukaryota; Metazoa; Chordata; Mammalia; Rodentia; Heteromyidae. The record is from Rfam by way of RNAcentral.
GGGGAUUUAGCUCAGUGGAAGAGCAUUUGUCUGGCAAGCACAAGGCCCUGAGUUCAGUCCUCA